CAGUAGGGAAUCUUCCACAAUGGACGAAAGUCUGAUGGAGCAACGCCGCGUGAGUGAUGAAGGUUUUCGGAUCGUAAAGCUCUGUUGUUAGGGAAGAACAAGUGCGAGAGUAACUGCUCGCACCUUGACGGUACCUAACCAGAAAGCCACGGCUAACUACGUGCCAGCAGCCGCGGUAAUACGUAGGUGGCAAGCGUUGUCCGGAAUUAUUGGGCGUAAAGCGCGCGCAGGUGGUUUCUUAAGUCUGAUGUGAAAGCCCACGGCUCAACCGUGGAGGGUCAUUGGAAACUGGGGAACUUGAGUGCAGAAGAGGAAAGUGGAAUUCCAAGUGUAGCGGUGAAAUGCGUAGAGAUUUGGAGGAACACCAGUGGCGAAGGCGACUUUCUGGUCUGUAACUGACACUGAGGCGCGAAAGCGUGGGGAGCAAACAGGAUUAGAUACCCUGGUAGUCCACGCCGUAAACGAUGAGUGCUAAGUGUUAGAGGGUUUCCGCCCUUUAGUGCUGCAGCUAACGCAUU
Molecule: ribosomal RNA, 518 nt
Filed under: Bacillus sp. (in: firmicutes)
Lineage: Bacteria; Bacillati; Bacillota; Bacilli; Caryophanales; Bacillaceae
Description: bacterial SSU rRNA
Rfam family: Bacterial small subunit ribosomal RNA
Source: RNAcentral